Molecule: RNA transcript, 729 nt
Organism: Schistocerca serialis cubense
Lineage: Eukaryota; Metazoa; Arthropoda; Insecta; Orthoptera; Acrididae
Gene: mRpL54
Gene name: 39S ribosomal protein L54, mitochondrial
Exons: 4
Source: RefSeq, a predicted model, not a curated record
CUAGUCAAAGAUAAUAAUAUAGUUUUGAAUGUUAUGAAACAGACCGGCAGUAGAACUACUGUGUCGAAGUUUUGCAUGUAUGAGAAAAGUUAUAUUUGGGGGCGUGAAAGACACAAAAUAUGAACAUUUGUAGAAAUAUACUGCAGAGGAGAUCAUGUUUUUUAAUCAACAAUUUGAUGUAUUCCAAAAAAGCAGAGGCUGGUGCCACAAUAGCUGGGCUUGGAAAACGGAAGAAACUUGGCAAACUAGGUCCUGUAAUGGAGAAAAAGGUUCUUCCUGUAGAAACAGAUCCAGCUAGGUUAGUGUCUUAUGUUUGUGGUAGUAACAUAUACAAAGAAGGUGAAGAUAUCAAACUGAAGGAAGAUUCUGAGUAUCCAGAUUGGCUUUGGAACAUACGAACAGGCAAGCCACCUGCUUUAGAGGAAUUGGACCCUAACACUAAAGAGUAUUGGAGAAGACUGAGGAAAAUGGCAUUGAGAAGAAAUAAUCAGUUGCAAAAGAUAAAGAAGUUUUAGGUGCAUCUGUGUACUGUGCAUGGUGAAAUAAGUGAUACACCGAAAGUGUAGAUAAAGAGCUGUUUUAUUUAAUAGACUAUAACUCACUGCGGCGGUUCCUCCAGGCUGUCAUGUAUGUCCUUGGAUGGAUGGGAUAGAAACCUGCUAAUCCUGUGUAACAGUAGAGAUAAUAACACUUAAGUGUGAUGUCAUACUGUCCAGUUUCAAAACAGAG